GGUGAGGUGGCCGAGUGGUCGAAGGCGCACGCUUGGAAAGCGUGUAGGCGGGAAACUGUCUCGUGGGUUCGAAUCCCACCCUCACCGCCA
This 90-nucleotide transfer RNA is filed under the name Oceanicaulis sp. HLUCCA04. Its description in RNAcentral is "tRNA-Ser". It matches the Rfam family "tRNA". Rfam says of the family: Transfer RNA (tRNA) molecules are approximately 80 nucleotides in length. Their secondary structure includes four short double-helical elements and three loops (D, anti-codon, and T loops). Further hydrogen bonds mediate the characteristic L-shaped molecular structure. tRNAs have two regions of fundamental functional importance: the anti-codon, which is responsible for specific mRNA codon recognition, and the 3' end, to which the tRNAs corresponding amino acid is attached (by aminoacyl-tRNA synthetases). tRNAs cope with the degeneracy of the genetic code in two manners: having more than one tRNA (with a specific anti-codon) for a particular amino acid; and 'wobble' base-pairing, i.e. permitting non-standard base-pairing at the 3rd anti-codon position. Lineage: Bacteria; Pseudomonadati; Pseudomonadota; Alphaproteobacteria; Maricaulales; Maricaulaceae. The record is from RNAcentral.